AUCUUUGCGCAGUGGCAGUAUCAUAGUCUAUGAGGUUCAUCCGAGACGCGAUUAUUGCUAGUUGAAAACUUUACCCAAUACCCCGCCUUGCUGACUUGAAAUAGUCGGCAAUGGCAAUUUUUGAUAGUCUCUCAGGAGA
This 139-nucleotide small nuclear RNA is filed under the name Sphaeramia orbicularis (orbiculate cardinalfish). Its description in RNAcentral is "U4 spliceosomal RNA (ENSSORG00005020799.1)". It matches the Rfam family "U4 spliceosomal RNA". From Rfam's summary of the family: U4 small nuclear RNA (U4 snRNA) is a component of the major U2-dependent spliceosome. Lineage: Eukaryota; Metazoa; Chordata; Actinopteri; Kurtiformes; Apogonidae. The record is from Rfam by way of RNAcentral.